AUUGAACGCUGGCGGCGUGCCUAACACAUGCAAGUCGAGCGGCAGCGCGGGAGCAAUCCUGGCGGCGAGCGGCGGACGGGUGAGUAACGCUUGGGAAUCUGCCUGUUAGUGGGGGACAACCCGGGGAAACUCGGGCUAAUACCGCAUACGCACUACGGUGGAAAGCCGGGACCGCAAGGCCUGGCGCUAACAGAUGAGCCCAAGUCGGAUUAGCUAGUUGGUAGGGUAACGGCCUACCAAGGCGACGAUCCGUAACUGGUCUGAGAGGACGACCAGUCACACCGGAACUGAGACACAGUCCGGACUCCUACGGGAGGCAGCAGUGGGGAAUAUUGGACAAUGGGGGAAACCCUGAUCCAGCGACGCCGCGUGGGUGAAGAAGGCCUGCGGGUUGUAAAG
RNAcentral lists this ribosomal RNA (399 nucleotides) under uncultured bacterium. Its description in RNAcentral is "bacterial SSU rRNA". It matches the Rfam family "Bacterial small subunit ribosomal RNA", at positions 29 to 430 of the family's 1533-position model. The record is from RNAcentral.